AGGCGCGUAGCUUAGUUGGUAAAGCACUUGUCUCCAAAACAAGCGAGCGCAGGUUCGACCCCUGCCGCGCCUG
Molecule: transfer RNA, 73 nt
Filed under: Candidatus Beckwithbacteria bacterium GW2011_GWC1_49_16
Lineage: Bacteria; Candidatus Beckwithiibacteriota
Description: tRNA-Trp
Rfam family: tRNA
About the family: Transfer RNA (tRNA) molecules are approximately 80 nucleotides in length.
Source: RNAcentral